CCGCCAUGAUUGUGAGGCUUCCCCAGCCAUGUGGAAACAUAUUCGCAGAGCACCCACUAGGUGCCAGUAAAUGUAUGAGAAGUCCUGUGGAAUAAGACUGAAGUUGUCCUUGCCUUCAAGCAACUUGCAAUUGCCUAAGAACACAGUUUAAAACCACAAAACUAAGCCUUGGAAAUCACAUGCUGUCAUUUCUGCGAUCGGUCAUAACCAGUCCUGAUUCCAUGUUAGAGGAGACUACAUAAGGACACAGGUACCAGAAGAAACUUCUAAGUGCUGCUGUAUUUCACCAAGCUCCAGUUGAUAUCCAAAUUGGACAACUCCUGUGUGCCAGGACAAUUAAAAGGUAAAGUUGAAAAAUGAUUUGAACAACAAAGGCAAAUUAAAAGCCCUCCCUGGAGCAAAGAUUGAAUCAAGAGUAUGGCUGUUAUGCUUCUGUUAAAACCUCUGAAUCAGUUAAGAGAAACGUAUGUCUCAACAGGGCCUGAUUAUUCACCUGGGCAACAGAAUCCAAGAACAUAGGCCACAGAGGCACAGUAGCUGACCCACAGCCUCUAACGUGUAAACUUCCUAUGUAAGCUGUCUCAUUUUCUCCGAAGCCAUGUGCUUGUUUUGCAGUAUCAUGUGGAAGAAAUAUUUGAAGGAUUUAGACUAAUUUUAAAUCCUGCUUCUGCUGCUUGCCAGGAGCAUGUCAACAGGGCCACCAAGAUGACACUGAGGCCCCUACCCAGCAUCCCAAAGGCAGUAUCACAGCAAAAGCUUUAAAAAAUAAAUUUAUAUUUCCUUCAUCACAAAUGUUAUGAAUACCAAUUAUAGAAAAUGUAGAAAUCCAAUAAAUUAGAAAGAAGAGAGAAAAAAUUACCCAAAGCCUACCACUCAGAAUGAAAAAUUUGGAGUCUAGUGAAAAGAAGUGACUUGCUCAAAAUCACACAGCACAUGAAGAACAGAGCCUCUAUGAUGAAUUUCUUGACAGCUGAUAUAAGUCUUUUGAGGUACAGCCUGGCACAAAAAGGAUGAGAUUUGUGGGCAGAAUUUUGGAAGAAUAUCUCCCGAGAGAACAUUCAGGACAGAUUGCACUGCUUUGGAGAGCUGGUGAUGAAAUCCGGCCAUUGAAUUACACUGCACUAUAAACUUCAUUUGUUCUUGGGUGCAUAGUGAUUUGCUAUAAUAAUGAUCAUCCAUUUGCCAGACAGCUGAGAUUUUUUAAAAGCUUGAUUGCUUUUGGCAUGGCAUUAUUAGUCCUGGAAGAAGGCAGCACAUUUGUAGCAAUUCUCAGCUUGAGCAAACUAGAAUAUUCACCUCCCACAAAUGCUGGCCAUUUAAGAUCUGUGUGUUAGACUUUGGCAUUUUUUCUAGCAAUUCUACAACAGCAUACACACUUUUAUUUUUCAUUAACACCAUUGUGAAUAUGCCCAUCUCUAAAAUUUCAAGGGGGUUCACUUAAGCUACUGAGUUUUAUGGACAGAAGGGCCAAGAAAAGUCCCCAAAGAAGAGUGCAUGCUGUCAAUUGCCAAUUAUUUUUUUUUCUAAUGAAAGCCAAACAAUUCCAGACAAACCCUUUUCUAAGAAAUGAACUACAUAUCUGGAUCCAAAUAAAUACUCAUCUGAUAAGAAUCUAAAAGCUCUACUGAAUUACAGUGGAUGAGAACAUGAUGAUGGUGAUUCUUUGAAGAUUACUGAGGAAAUCAACUCUCAUGUCUGAUUCUGAUACUUUUAUAGUCCAUCCAUGUUGAAAAUGUCUAUGGAAUGAUUCUGUUGUACCUUGAGAAAUGAAAUUCAUAGGCAUGGAUUCUCUCACACAGCAACUUUAUACACAAAGAUGAGAAUAGAAGAAAGGUCAUUUCCAAAGAAAGUGACAUUUAUUCUGUAUUCACUGAAAAGCCAAAAGAAUUUUCUCAUUCACCCAUACCGACAGAGCCCUACAUCUCCCCGAGAAGAGGUGAAAGAGACUGCUCCUAUCUGCUUCUGCAUCAAACUUCAGGCUCAAGACCUGUCCAGAAAAAAAAAUGUCUUCUUUCAGGGAUGAACUGCUGUCCUCAUCAGACGCCUUAUUUUGUUUAGAAUUCAAGCUCACUUGACAGGUUAUUGUGAAGAUUAAAUGAAUUAAUACAUGUGAAGCAACUGUAACAACUCUUGACAUGCGUGGGCUGGACUUCCAGAAGAAACGUUGUCAGAACUCUGCCCAACUGAAAACAAGCCUACUAAAAAUAAAUAAAUAAAUAAAAUUUUAAAAAAUUGA
RNAcentral lists this long non-coding RNA (2236 nucleotides) under Homo sapiens (human). RNAcentral describes it as "HSALNT0318658". Lineage: Eukaryota; Metazoa; Chordata; Mammalia; Primates; Hominidae. The record is from RNAcentral.